This 520-nucleotide ribosomal RNA is filed under the name uncultured bacterium. Its description in RNAcentral is "bacterial SSU rRNA". It matches the Rfam family "Archaeal small subunit ribosomal RNA", at positions 345 to 866 of the family's 1478-position model. The record is from RNAcentral.
AACCUCCGCAAUGUGAGAAAUCGCGACGGGGGGAUCCCAAGUGCCAUUCUUAACGGGAUGGCUUUUCAUUAGUGUAAAGAGCUUUUGGAAUAAGAGCUGGGCAAGACCGGUGCCAGCCGCCGCGGUAACACCGGCAGCUCUAGUGGUAACAAUUUUUAUUGGGCCUAAAGCGUCCGUAGCCGGUUUAAUAAGUCUCUGGUGAAAUCCUGUAGCUUAACUGUGGGAAUUGCUGGAGAUACUAUUAGACUUGAGACCGGGAGAGGUUAGAGGUACUCCCAGGGUAGAGGUGAAAUUCUGUAAUCCUGGGAGGACCGCCUGUUGCGAAGGCGUCUAACUGGAACGGUUCUGACGGUGAGGGACGAAAGUUAGGGGCGCGAACCGGAUUAGAUACCCGGGUAGUCCUAACUGUAAACGAUGCGGACUUGGUGUUGGGGUGGCUUUGAGCUGCUCCAGUGCCGAAGGGAGCUGUUAAGUCCGCCGCCUGGGAAGUACGGUCGCAAGACUGAAACUUAAAGGAAGU